RNAcentral lists this ribosomal RNA (775 nucleotides) under uncultured Neocallimastigales. RNAcentral's name for it is "partial large subunit ribosomal RNA". It matches the Rfam family "Eukaryotic large subunit ribosomal RNA", at positions 20 to 628 of the family's 3401-position model. The record is from RNAcentral. Lineage: Eukaryota; Fungi; Neocallimastigomycota; Neocallimastigomycetes; Neocallimastigales.
UACUAGAGUAGCACUCGCAUAUCAAUAAGCGGAGGAAAAGAAACUAACAAGGAUUCCCCUAGUAACGGCGAGUGAAGCGGGAAGAGCUCAAAUUUGAAAUCUUAAAGGGUUUCCCUUUACGAAUUGUAGUUUAAAGAAGUGUUUUCUGUUGAGGUUUUGGUAAAAGUUCUUUGGAAUAGGACAUCAUAGAGGGUGAGAAUCCCGUAUUUGACCUUUACUUUCAACUUUGUGAUACACUUUCAAAGAGUCGGAUUGUUUGGGAAUGCAGUCCAAAAUGGGUGGUAAAUUUCAUCUAAAGCUAAAUAUUGGCGAGAGACCGAUAGCGAACAAGUACCGUGAGGGAAAGAUGAAAAGAACUUUGAAAAGAGAGUUAAACAGUACGUGAAAUUGUCAAAAGGGAAGCGUUUGACACCAGUGUUGUUUUUCUGAAAAUCAAUUAAAGAACUGUUUAUGCUAAGCUGUUUAGACUUUAUCAGCUAAUCUGUUUAGUUUUGAGCUUUUCUUUAAUGCACUUUUCAGUUAACAAGUCAACAUCAAUUUCUUUUGCUGUAAAAAAGCUUGAGGAAGGUGGCUUGAGAUUCGUCUUAAGUGUUUAUAGCCUCUUGCCUAUGCAGUCGGAGAGAUUGAGGUCUGCAGCGUAGAUCCUUCGGGGCUAAAUGCAUUUGUGCUAAGUUAUAGCAUUUUAUAGACAACUUGUUGACUAUGAUUUGUCUUGUAGCUUACUCGCUUAUGUUAUUUUACCUACGCUUAGGAUGUUGAAGACUCUACAGAGAUA